Molecule: ribosomal RNA, 924 nt
Filed under: uncultured archaeon
Lineage: Archaea
Description: bacterial SSU rRNA
Rfam family: Archaeal small subunit ribosomal RNA
Source: RNAcentral
UUCCGGUUGAUCCUGCCGGACCCCACUGCUAUCGGGAUGGGACUAAGACAUGCUAGUCGAGCGUCUCCAAGCUAUGGAAGAGACGCGGCACACAGCUCAGUAACACGUGGCUAACCUGCCCUUGGGACAAGGACAACUCCGGGAAACUGGGGCUAAUCCCUGAUAAGUGAGAACUCCUGGAAUGGAUUCUCGCUCAAAGGACGUUUGGACCAUGCUUCUAGGCGUCGCCCAAGGAGGGGGCCGCGACCGAUCAGGUUGUUGGUGAGGUAACGGCUCACCAAGCCUUUAACCGGUACGGGCCGUGAGAGCGGAAGCCCGGAGAUGGGCACUGAGACAAGGGCCCAGGCCCUACGGGGCGCAGCAGUCGCGAAGACUCCGCAAUACACGAAAGUGUGACGGGGCUAUCCCGAGUGCCAUCCGCUGAGGAUGGCUUUUCCCCAGUGUAUAAAGCUGGGGGAAUAAGGAGAGGGCAAGCCUGGUGUCAGCCGCCGCGGUAAUACCAGCUCUCCGAGUGGUGGGGAUGUUUAUUGGGCCUAAAGCAUUCGUAGCCUGCUUGGCAAGUCCUCCGUUAAAUCCAACGAUUCAAUCGUUGGGCUGCGGGGGAUACUGUCCAGCUAGGGGGCGGGAGAGGCCGACGGUAUCCCCGGGGUAGGGGUGAAAUCCUAUAAUCCCGGGAGGACCACCAGUGGCGAAGGCUGUCGGCUAGAACGCGCUCGACGGUGAGGGAUGAAAGCUGGGGGAGCGAACCGGAUUAGAUACCCGGGUAGUCCCAGCUGUAAACGAUGCAGGCUAGGUGUUGGCGCGGCUACGUGCCGCUCCAGUGCCGCAGGGAAGCCGUUAAGCCUGCCGCCUGGGAAGUACGGCCGCAAGGCUGAAACUUAAAGGAAUUGGCGGGGGAGCACCACAAGGUGUGAAGCUUGCGGU